RNAcentral lists this unclassified non-coding RNA (353 nucleotides) under soil metagenome. RNAcentral describes it as "partial contains 5.8S ribosomal RNA, internal transcribed spacer 2, and large subunit ribosomal RNA". The stretch from base 1 to 120 matches the Rfam family "5.8S ribosomal RNA", at positions 35 to 154 of the family's 154-position model. The record is from RNAcentral.
GAUGAAGAACGCAGCGAAAUGCGAUAAGUAAUGUGAAUUGCAGAAUUCAGUGAAUCAUCGAAUCUUUGAACGCACAUUGCGCCCGCUAGUAUUCUGGCGGGCAUGCCUGUCCGAGCGUCAUUUCAACCCUCAAGCCCCCGGGCUUGGUGUUGGGGAUCGGCGGAAGCCCCCUGCGGGCACAACGCCGUCCCCCAAAUACAGUGGCGGUCCCGCCGCAGCUUCCAUUGCGUAGUAGCUAACACCUCGCAACUGGAGAGCGGCGCGGCCACGCCGUAAAACACCCAACUUCUGAAUGUUGACCUCGAAUCAGGUAGGAAUACCCGCUGAACUUAAGCAUAUCAAUAAGCGGAGGA